AAGAUGGCGACCGGCGCACGGGUGAGUAACACGUAUCCAACCUGCCGAUAACUCCGGAAUAGCCUUUCGAAAGAAAGAUUAAUACCGGAUGGCAUACGAAUAUCGCAUGAUAUUUUUAUUAAAGAAUUUCGGUUAUCGAUGGGGAUGCGUUCCAUUAGUUUGUUGGCGGGGUAACGGCCCACCAAGACUACGAUGGAUAGGGGUUCUGAGAGGAAGGUCCCCCACAUUGGAACUGAGACACGGUCCAAACUCCUACGGGAGGCAGCAUG
RNAcentral lists this ribosomal RNA (269 nucleotides) under uncultured bacterium. RNAcentral describes it as "partial 16S ribosomal RNA". It matches the Rfam family "Bacterial small subunit ribosomal RNA", at positions 85 to 353 of the family's 1533-position model. The record is from RNAcentral.